Molecule: transfer RNA, 72 nt
Filed under: Ictidomys tridecemlineatus (thirteen-lined ground squirrel)
Lineage: Eukaryota; Metazoa; Chordata; Mammalia; Rodentia; Sciuridae
Description: Spermophilus tridecemlineatus (thirteen-lined ground squirrel) tRNA
Rfam family: tRNA
About the family: Transfer RNA (tRNA) molecules are approximately 80 nucleotides in length. Their secondary structure includes four short double-helical elements and three loops (D, anti-codon, and T loops). Further hydrogen bonds mediate the characteristic L-shaped molecular structure. tRNAs have two regions of fundamental functional importance: the anti-codon, which is responsible for specific mRNA codon recognition, and the 3' end, to which the tRNAs corresponding amino acid is attached (by aminoacyl-tRNA synthetases). tRNAs cope with the degeneracy of the genetic code in two manners: having more than one tRNA (with a specific anti-codon) for a particular amino acid; and 'wobble' base-pairing, i.e. permitting non-standard base-pairing at the 3rd anti-codon position.
Source: Rfam by way of RNAcentral
AGAGUUGUGGCUCAGUGGUAGAGUGCUUGCCUAGCAUGUGUGAGGCCCUGGGUUCAAUCCUCAGCACCACCC